This is a long non-coding RNA of Sphaeramia orbicularis (orbiculate cardinalfish), 232 nucleotides long. RefSeq lists it as uncharacterized. Lineage: Eukaryota; Metazoa; Chordata; Actinopteri; Kurtiformes; Apogonidae. The record is from RefSeq and is a predicted model, not a curated record. The transcript has 2 exons.
UUGAGUAGGCAUAAUUGAUUAUUUUUUUAUGGGUUGUAAGAGGAAACUGACUUUUAGCAUGUGUAUAUAUUUAUUUGUUGCAUUUUAAAUGUGUAAAUCUGUCCAGCUAGGUUGUGUAGGUGUUUUUGUGGUUUAUUGUAUGCAUGCUGGGACAGUAUAUUUAUUGAUGGUUAUUGAUAUUGGGUAUUUAUUGGUAUUUAUUCUGGCAAAAUGUUGCCAGUCUCUUGUUAAA